This is a long non-coding RNA of Strigops habroptila (Kakapo), 384 nucleotides long. RefSeq lists it as uncharacterized. Lineage: Eukaryota; Metazoa; Chordata; Aves; Psittaciformes; Psittacidae. The transcript has 2 exons. The record is from RefSeq and is a predicted model, not a curated record.
CUUGUUACUAUGUGGAUUUUAGUCGUGUUUGUAUAUUCAUCCAUAUAUAGGGGUUGGAACUAGAUAAUCUUUAAGGUCCAUUCCAGCCCUAACCAUUGUAUGGUACGGUUCCAUAAUUUGAGAGAUUAUAAUAUAAUAAAUAAAUGUGUUCAAAGUAAUUUCUCUUUAUUUCAAGACUCCUUCAAGUCACUUCUCUUAAAGCUUAGAAAGUACAGCACUGUGUGCUUACCACAUAAUUGGAGAGACUGCAGCGUUUGCUGUGAUUUGGAAGCCAUGUGCCAUUCUAUUUUGAACAAAGAGAUUAAUUUCUUUGCUAAUGUCUGGCAGAACCAAAAAUUCAGACCCACCGGCUCCUGCUCCUUGUGAAGCCCCAGUGUGCGUUAC